UCAUAUACAUCUUUGUGUAGAAAGUCUUAGAAUGUUUAUUAUCAGAGAGUUGCGACUUCUAGGAGUUGUGAAUCUUUGAGACAAAAGUUAUUACAACUUUCAGCAAUGGAUCUCUUGGCUCUCGCAUCGAUGAAGAACGCAGCGAAAAGCGAUAUGUAAUGUGAAUUGCAGAUCUACAGUGAAUCAUCGAAUCUUUGAACGCACCUUGCGCUCCUUGGUAUUCCGAGGAGCAUGCCUGUUUGAGUGUCAGUAAUUUCUCAACCCCUCUCAAUUAGCUUUGAGGGGGAGCUUGGAUAGUGGGUGUUGCCAGAGACUCUUACUUGUGUAAGACUUGGGCUCACCUGAAAUGCAUUGGCUUGCAGUCAACCUUUUGACUUUGCAUGAUAAGGCUUUCGGUGUGAUAAUGAUCACCGUGUGCUGAAGUGUAUGAAUAAAGGUUCUGUGCCUCUAAUAUAUGGGUUGACCUUUACUAUAUAGUAAAGUCUUUCCCCCCCUUUUGACUUUUGACC
This 509-nucleotide ribosomal RNA is filed under the name uncultured Rhizopogon. RNAcentral describes it as "eukaryotic LSU rRNA". The stretch from base 95 to 249 matches the Rfam family "5.8S ribosomal RNA". Lineage: Eukaryota; Fungi; Basidiomycota; Agaricomycetes; Boletales; Rhizopogonaceae. The record is from RNAcentral.